CUGAUAAACACAUCCUCUCUCAUUUCGUUUUUCCCUCGCGGCACGAUGCUAAGCACAUUACACACACAGCACGCCACUGUGCUCGUCGUCACACUGGUCGGAACAUCAUGUGUGACGUACGUGUCACACCUAUGGUGCCAGAGAGCAGUUGGGAGGGAAGGAUGGAUGGAGGACAAGGCGGAGAGACAAGUGUGCUGGAGGCAGAGCAGAUACACAUCAGCUGUAACCUGUUCCAUAAUCAAGACCUCUACAAGUACUCAGCCCUGCCACUUCCAUGCUGCCAGAUCGGAACAUCUGCUCAGUCAGUCUAUGGUUUUAGAUGUUUGUUCCUGC
RNAcentral lists this long non-coding RNA (333 nucleotides) under Salmo salar (Atlantic salmon). RNAcentral's name for it is "lncRNA (ENSSSAG00000112278.1)". Lineage: Eukaryota; Metazoa; Chordata; Actinopteri; Salmoniformes; Salmonidae. The record is from RNAcentral.